RNAcentral lists this ribosomal RNA (270 nucleotides) under uncultured archaeon. RNAcentral's name for it is "partial 16S ribosomal RNA". It matches the Rfam family "Archaeal small subunit ribosomal RNA", at positions 477 to 747 of the family's 1478-position model. The record is from RNAcentral.
CAGCACCUCAAGUGGUCAGGAUGAUUAUUGGGCCUAAAGCAUCCGUAGCCGGCGCUGUAAGUUUUCGGUUAAAUCUGUACGCUCAACGUACAGGCUGCCGGGAAUACUGCAGCGCUAGGGAGUGGGAGAGGUAGACGGUACUCGGUAGGAAGGGGUAAAAUCCUUUGAUCCAUUGAUGACCACCUGUGGCGAAGGCGGUCUACCAGAACACGUCCGACGGUGAGGGAUGAAAGCUGGGGGAGCAAACCGGAUUAGAGACCCGCGUAGUCC